UGAAGCCUACUUUGUCAUAGUGGAUGAUAUCUUUGAUGUGUUCGCUUGGAUUCGCUUUGGAAAUCCCACAGUUCUGUCUGCGAUGGUGAGUUCAGCUUACAGGCAAGUCUCUGGACUGGCAUCUGAGCACCUGCCAGAGCCCACAACCUUUUCCAGGGAUUGUCUGAGUUACCUAAGUGGGAACCCUCAUUCUGCUUCGUGUGUCAUCCGGUUACCCCGUGUUUCCCAGUGCUUGCAUGGACAAUAGAGCCCAGAGAAGACAGCCCUCCACCACUGACUGUACCUAAUGACUCGAGUUUUAAUUUUCAACUUGACACAAUGUAGUUUUGUCUGUAAAGAGUCUUAAGACUAGUCUGUUUACAGUAGAUUUGUCUGUGGCUAUGUGACUGUCUUAUUAUUGAUAUAUGAUGACGAUACAGCCCACUGUGGGUGACACCAUUCCCAAGGCAGGGAGUCCCCACUGUGGAAGAGUAGAGUCAUGUAUCUGAAACUGUGAAGGUUGAGAAGCUCUGACCAGAAAUACAUGGAAUAUGUGUUUGAUGUGCAGCUUAGACCAAGCCAAUAGCAUGCAAGAGCAGAGAGGGGAGGCAGAUAGAACGAAGGAACUCUCCAUGCCUGUGUGCUUUCAGGUACCCACAUGCUCUAAGGAACAGCUAUGGUCCUUCCUUAGACAACGAGAAAGCUUUAGGAGGUUUUGAUCAAAGGAAAACCCUUUGCCAAGAUCUCAUCCCUUCCAGGAGAACUCUGCACUCUCCAUUUCUCCUCUUCUGGCUUCUGGUUGGAAACAAUAGUGAGCCAAACUUAGCGUUACCCUAUAGACUUGUGCAGAGAAGAAUACACUCCAGUGAUCAUGUUCCCCUUGUAGCUCGGGAGGGACUGUGUUAUGGCCAGGGCAGUUCAUAGAAUUGCUUGGAGCCAAGAUGUCCACCCUGCAGUGCAGGCUGAGAUCACUCUUCACACAGUGCAGCAAUUCUCUACAAUUUCCAACAGACAAGGACAUUGUCAGCUGGUGCACAACUCUUUGUCACACAUCCUUAGUUACUGGUCAUUUCUCAGAGGGAGCAGCUGGAAGGAAACAUCUGUCAGAGUCCACGUGUUCUGGACCACGGCUGCCCUGAGUUUCUGAGGUGCAGAUGAAGGAAUAAAGCCACAGGGGACAUGUGAGGUUAAAAACAGGCAGGAUCAAAAUGAUGCUACAUACUCCAAAAUGUCAAUAACCACAAACCCUGGUGUGGUGAAGAAUGCGGGAUAGGAAUGGAGGGUAAUCAGCUCAAUGGGAGAAUUGACUGGGAGAGAGAUUUCUUUAUUACAAUGGUCUUGUCUUUAGAUGCACAGGUUAUAGUGGGUUUGUCCUAUGUUGUAUGUCUAUAUGAGUGAGUAUAUACCAUGUGUGUCUGUUUGCUUCUGGGACAACUCACUCAGGAUGAUCCUUUUCAGAUCCCACCAUUUACCUGCAAAUUUCAUGAUUUCCUUGUUUUUCAUUGCUGAGUAAUAUUCCAUUGUGUAGAUG
Molecule: long non-coding RNA, 1510 nt
Organism: Meriones unguiculatus (Mongolian gerbil)
Lineage: Eukaryota; Metazoa; Chordata; Mammalia; Rodentia; Muridae
Exons: 3
Source: RefSeq, a predicted model, not a curated record